AGUCGAGCGGGGAAGGUAGCUUGCUACUGGACCUAGCGGCGGACGGGUGAGUAAUGCUUAGGAAUCUGCCUAUUAGUGGGGGACAACAUUCCGAAAGGAAUGCUAAUACCGCAUACGCCCUACGGGGGAAAGCAGGGGAUCUUCGGACCUUGCGCUAAUAGAUGAGCCUAAGUCGGAUUAGCUAGUUGGUGGGGUAAAGGCCUACCAAGGCGACGAUCUGUAGCGGGUCUGAGAGGAUGAUCCGCCACACUGGGACUGAGACACGGCCCAGACUCCUACGGGAGGCAGCAGUGGGGAAUAUUGGACAAUGGGCGGAAGCCUGAUCCAGCCAUGCCGCGUGUGUGAAGAAGGCCUUUUGGUUGUAAAGCACUUUAAGCGAGGAGGAGGCUCCUUUAGUUAAUACCUAAAGUGAGUGGACGUUACUCGCAGAAUAAGCACCGGCUAACUCUGUGCCAGCAGCCGCGGUAAUACAGAGGGUGCGAGCGUUAAUCGGAUUUACUGGGCGUAAAGCGUGCGUAGGCGGCUUUUUAAGUCGGAUGUGAAAUCCCUGAGCUUAACUUAGGAAUUGCAUUCGAUACUGGAAAGCUAGAGUAUGGGAGAGGAUGGUAGAAUUCCAGGUGUAGCGGUGAAAUGCGUAGAGAUCUGGAGGAAUACCGAUGGCGAACGCAGCCAUCUGGCCUAAUACUGACGCUGAGGUACGAAAGCAUGGGGAGCAAACAGGAUUAGAUACUCCUGGUAGUUCCAUGCCGUAAACGAUGUCUACUAGCCGUUGGGGCCCUUUGAGCUUUAGUGGCGCAGCUAACGCGAUAGUAGAUCGCCUGGGGGAGUACGGUCGCAGACUAAAACUCAAAUGAAUU
Molecule: ribosomal RNA, 857 nt
Filed under: uncultured bacterium
Lineage: Bacteria
Description: bacterial SSU rRNA
Rfam family: Bacterial small subunit ribosomal RNA
Source: RNAcentral